Molecule: ribosomal RNA, 234 nt
Filed under: uncultured bacterium
Lineage: Bacteria
Description: partial 16S ribosomal RNA
Rfam family: Bacterial small subunit ribosomal RNA
Source: RNAcentral
GCACAAGCAGUGGAGUAUGUGGUUUAAUUCGAAGCAACGCGAAGAACCUUACCAGGUCUUGACAUCCGAUGCAUAGCACAGAGAUGUGUGAAAUCCUUCGGGACAUCGAGACAGGUGGUGCAUGGUUGUCGUCAGCUCGUGUCGUGAGAUGUUGGGUUAAGUCCCGCAACGAGCGCAACCCUUAUUGCCAGUUACUACGUUAAGAGGACUCUGGCGAGACUGCCGUUGACAAAA